RNAcentral lists this RNase P RNA (174 nucleotides) under Candidatus Rokuibacteriota bacterium. RNAcentral describes it as "Candidatus Rokubacteria bacterium partial RNase P RNA component class A". It matches the Rfam family "Bacterial RNase P class A", at positions 203 to 367 of the family's 367-position model. From Rfam's summary of the family: Ribonuclease P (RNase P) is a ubiquitous endoribonuclease, found in archaea, bacteria and eukarya as well as chloroplasts and mitochondria. Its best characterised activity is the generation of mature 5'-ends of tRNAs by cleaving the 5'-leader elements of precursor-tRNAs. Cellular RNase Ps are ribonucleoproteins. The record is from RNAcentral. Lineage: Bacteria; Candidatus Rokuibacteriota.
UUGGCAAACCCCACCCGGAGCAAGGCCAAAUAGGGGAGCGAUGGCGUGGCCCGCGCCGCUCCCGGGUUCGGCCGCUGGAGACGUCGGGUAACCGGCGCCCUAGAGAAAUGAUCGUCACCCCGGGCGGGAAACUGCUCGGGGCCACAGGACCCGGCUUACAGGCCUUCUCUGGCG